Macaca mulatta (Rhesus monkey) is the source of this 2494-nucleotide long non-coding RNA. RefSeq lists it as uncharacterized. NCBI's taxonomy places the organism in Eukaryota, Metazoa, Chordata, Mammalia, Primates, Cercopithecidae. The record is from RefSeq and is a predicted model, not a curated record.
UUUUUUUUGGCCCCCUUUCCAUUUUCCCUGCUUCACUGUAAGCUUUCGAGCAACAGAAACUAGGCUAAGAUUGCAGACUGCAGAGACUCCAAGCGGAGUCGGAGAAAUUUGGCCUCGUUUUAAUAGGGCUGAGGAAUGAACUCGGGAGGUCAAUAAAGCCCUCCAAAAAUGAUGAAUGAUUGAGCACCUGUGAUGAUGAUAGUGAUUACCAGAGCAAUUAAACAGUUUGAUUAAAUGAGCCAUCAUAACAAUGAUGUCUGCGGGAAAUCGGCCCUCACAUAUAAAGAAAGAUAGUGCGAAGGGGCUGGCAGAGGCGCGGAUAGCGCGACGCCAGGGAGAGGGGCUGCGGGCCGCGAGGUUUCUGCCCAGUGGCCCGAGCAGGGACGGCCGGACUCACGGAGCUUCAGGGAGGAGAGUGUAGCCCCGGUUUUCAGCCACUCUUUUUGCCCGGCUUCAAGCCUGCUAGAGCCGACGGGUAGGAAAUCUGAAGGUUGGGGGGAGGGUACUUCCUCCACGUACUCUUUUUUUUUUUCCUAGAAGAACUACAAGAUUAAAAGUAUCCUUCUUAUUUGUUGCUGAGUUGCUCGUCGACAUUUAAGAGAAGGCACAUGAAGAUGAUGUGAAUAUCAAAAUGACAAAGAGGACCCAGGAAGAAUGACAAUGAAAUAAUAAUAGGUUAACUCAACUCAUAUUUAAUUAGGUUCUUGCAAUGCUCUCUCACUCCCUCUGCUGGCCUUGUUAAUUAACAAAACCAGUGCCUAAGUAGUCCUCGUGGGAAUCAGUGAUACCAAGUGGAUGACCCGUUGACUGCCCUCUGUGUUGUGUCGGGAGCCAACCAGAAAAUCAUGCUGAUUGUCCUCGGUAUGAAACAAAAAAGGCCAAGAGAAAAUUUGUUGUGGGUAGUGAAAACAGAAUGGCAUGCUUAUUUUUACAGUUUUAAGAAAGAAUUUAAUGAAAGGGAUAAUUCACAAAUCUUAAAAAUGUGCUAUUUUUCAAAGGAAUAACACCAGUUACCCACAUUCUAUUGAAAUGUAUAUGUACUUAGUAAAAGGCACUCAAAACAAGGUGUAUCAAUUGUGUGUUUCGGUGUUUACACACCGGAGGGUUAAAUGAAGGUUGUCUGGCUUUGCUGGUAGGAUUCUGAACCUGGAUUAGAUAUAUAGCUGUCCAAUGGAUCAGCUUCCCACAUCCUAGAGUUCCAUUAUGGAGUUACAAAGAGAAUGACAGCACUUGGCAAGUCCCAGGCCUAAUCAUAGCACAGAGAAGUGACUUUUGGAAGAUACAUUACCAAGCAAUUAGGACCCAUUUAAUAAAUUACCCCUUAUGGAACACUUUGAACCCUAGUGGUCUGAAGAGGUUAAUGCACCUCUCACAACUGAGUGCUACUCCGUUUCCAGGGGUAACUUCAAGGCCACAGCUAAUCCAAACCUUCUUCUCAUCAAUGGCCUCUUACUCUUGAGUCACUUGGGUAGUCUGGCAUCCGUAAGCCCACACACUUGCACUUCCACCCCUCUGCGUGCCAGAUGCUUCAUUUUCUUGCCGCUGAAUCCAUUGGGCGCAGUGCUCAUGAGGCCAAAAGACUUUGUCCUGCACAUUAACUUCCUCCUUGGGCUUUCAUGCUUCUUAUUUGGUCGUCUUUCUGUUUCUCUUAUUUAUAGAGAGUUUUAACUUCUGGGUUUAGUUUAAAUGUUACAUCUGAUGUAAUAUACUUUCCUCCAAAAUUGUUGAGUAGCAACCACAUUUUAAAUGAAUCCAAUACACAAAAUUAGGCUUUAGGAUAUUAUUAAAUUUGUAAAAAAAAAGAAAACCAAAACAAAAAAACCCACAAAACCCCACAGUAGAUGUAUAUUUGUAAACUGGAAUCUUAACUAUGGUUAGACACUAAAAAACAUUUAAAAUAUAACUGUAAGGGAGAAAAAGCUUUGUUUGAUGCUAGAAUAUAAUUAGACAUUUUAGGGUUUCAUUUUAAUUUAAAUUCAACUUGAGUUUUUGGAAUGAAAAUGCCGAGGAGACACUAAGCACUUUUAUUAAAAAAGAUGGCCAAAAAGUAGAAUUGGAAAAGAUGGAAAUAUGAAAAUAUUCCUGUGCAUUCAUAAUGGCUGACAUUGCUGUAUCAUGUCAUUGGUCUGCUGAACGAUAUUCCUGUAAACUACGAUCAAAAUCGUCAUGAUUUCCAGCACACUUAUUUAAUGUUUAUUCUAUCCAAGGCUCUGCUGAGAGCCACAGGAGAUGAAUAAGACAUGGCCUAUGGCUUCAAGAAACUUCAAGAAUUGUAUUGUAGAGCUAGGAUUUAGGUACAUAGAAAAGUAAGCAUAACAAAGGGAAGAUUACAAUGGAUGCCAAGUUUGUAUGCACACAGGAAUUCAGGGAAAGAAGAGGAGUCUCUGCACAAGAAGGUUUGAUGGAGGAAAUAGAAUUUGCUCAAGUCUUUCGUUAAGAUUUUGAUAAGAAAGCUAAAAAUUAAAAAAUAAAAUGCUCCCACAUUGAGAAGUAA